Molecule: unclassified non-coding RNA, 1372 nt
Filed under: uncultured Neocallimastigales
Lineage: Eukaryota; Fungi; Neocallimastigomycota; Neocallimastigomycetes; Neocallimastigales
Description: partial contains small subunit ribosomal RNA, internal transcribed spacer 1, 5.8S ribosomal RNA, internal transcribed spacer 2, and large subunit ribosomal RNA
Rfam family: Eukaryotic large subunit ribosomal RNA (bases 628-1372)
Source: RNAcentral
UUCCGUAGGUGAACCUGCGGAAGGAUCAUUAAAAAAUGGUGUGGCCGUUGUUUUGUCACCAUUAAUAAUCCUACCCUUUGUGAAUUUGUUUUAUGUAAUAAUUUUUUUCCAAUGAAAAAUUAUUUGUCUAUCCCUGAAGAAAAGUAGAAUAUACUUUUUUUUAGGAGUAGAUUUUAAUAAUUUUUUCAGUGAAAAGACCUUUUUUUUAAAUUAAACUUUUGUAUUCAUUUGUCUAAAUUGUAAAAAAAUAAUUUAAAAACAACUUUUGACAAUGGAUCUCUUGGUUCUCGCAACGAUGAAGAACGCAGCAAAAUGCGAUAAGUAAUGUGAAUUGCAGAAUACGUGAAUCAUCAAAUCUUCGAACGCAUAUUGCACUUUUUAGUUUACUAAAAAAUUAUGUCUGUUUGAGUAUCAGUAAAAUAUUCUCAUAAAAGCGUUGUGUUUUUAUGGUUAUGAGUGUUUUACAACGAUAAACAAGUUGUUUCACUUUAAAUUCAUUUUUAAAGCCGUUUUAAUGGUUUUAAAAAUAAUUAAAUUGGAUAAAAUUUUCCCGUAAAAAGGAAUAACCUAUUUCAGUUUUAGUUUUUUUAAAUCCAAGGCCAAACAAAAGGAAUUUUCAAAUCAACUUGAUCUCAAAUCAGAUAAGAGUACCCGCUGAACUUAAGCAUAUCAAUAAGCGGAGGAAAAGAAACUAACAAGGAUUCCUUAGUAACGGCGAGUGAAGCGGGAAGAGCUCAAAUUUGAAAUCUUCAAGGUUCUACCUUGACGAAUUGUAGUUUAAAGAAGUGUUUUCUGUUGAAGUUUCGGUAAAAGUUCUUUGGAAUAGGACAUCAUAGAGGGUGAGAAUCCCGUAUUUGACCGUUAUUUUCAGCUGUGUGAUACACUUUCAAAGAGUCGGAUUGUUUGGGAAUGCAGUCCAAAAUGGGUGGUAAAUUUCAUCUAAAGCUAAAUAUUGGCGAGAGACGAUAGCGAACAAGUACCGUGAGGGAAAGAUGAAAAGAACUUUGAAAAGAGAGUUAAACAGUACGUGAAAUUGUCAAAAGGGAAGCGUUUGACACCAGUGUUGUUUUCUCGAAAAUCAAUUAAAAAUGUUGAUUUUGUUGUUAUGACCUUAAAGCUUCUUCACUUUUUCAUGUCUUUUUAAUGCACUUUUCGUUUAACAAGUCAACAUCAUUUCUUUUGUUGUAAAAAGGUCAUUGGAAGGUGGCUUUCACUUCGGUGAAAGUGUUUAUAGCCUUUGGCUUCUGCAAUCGGAGAGAUUGAGGUCUGCAGCGUAGAUCCUUCGGGUUAGAUACGUAGAUGCUAAGUUAUAGUUUUUUAUAGACAACUUGUUGACUAUAAUUAAUCAUGUAGCUUACUCGUUUGCGCUAUU